This 800-nucleotide ribosomal RNA is filed under the name uncultured bacterium. RNAcentral's name for it is "bacterial SSU rRNA". It matches the Rfam family "Bacterial small subunit ribosomal RNA", at positions 8 to 836 of the family's 1533-position model. The record is from RNAcentral.
AGAGUUUGAUCCUGGCUCAGCCUGAACGCUGGCGGCGUGGCUAAGACAUGCAAGUCGCACGGUGUAGCAAUACACAGUGGCGAACGGGUGAGUAAUGAAUCGCUAAUGUACCCCGGACUCUGGGAUAGCUGCCCGAAAGGGCAGGUAAUACCAGAUGAGACCACGGAGAGGCAUCUCUCUGUGCUCAAAGGUCCGCCGGUCUGGGAGCAGGCGAUUUCGUAUCAGCUUGUUGGUGAGGUAACGGCUCACCAAGGUGACGACGCGUAGCCGGACUGAGAGGUUGGCCGGCCACAUUGGGACUGAGACACUGCCCAGACUCCUACGGGGGGCUGCAGUAACGAAUCUUCCGCAAUGCACGAAAGUGUGACGGAGCGACGCCGCGUGUAGGACGAAGCCCUUCGGGGUGUAAACUACUGUCAGGGGUUAGAAAGUUCUGAUCAACCCCAGAGGAAGGCACGGCUAACUCUGUGCCAGCAGCCGCGGUAAGACAGAGGUGCCAAGCGUUAGGCGGAAUCACUGGGCUUAAAGCGUGUGUAGGCGGACUUGUAAGUACCUUGUGAAAUCCCACGGCUUAACCGUGGAACUGCUUGGUAUACUGCUUGUCUUGAGCCACUUAGGGGCUACCGGAACAAAUGGUGGAGCGGUGAAAUGCGUAGAUAUCAUUUGGAACGCCAAUGGUGAAAACAGGUAGCUGGGAGUGUGCUGACGCUGAGACACGAAAGCCAGGGGAGCGAACGGGAUUAGAUACCCCGGUAGUCCUGGCCGUAAACGAUGUCGACUAGAUCGUGGCAGCUCUGACG